AUAGCUCAGUGGUAGAGCUCUUGCUUGGCAUUCAAGGGGCCCUGGGUUUGAUCCCUUGU
This 59-nucleotide transfer RNA is filed under the name Cricetulus griseus (Chinese hamster). It matches the Rfam family "tRNA", at positions 7 to 64 of the family's 71-position model. From Rfam's summary of the family: Transfer RNA (tRNA) molecules are approximately 80 nucleotides in length. Their secondary structure includes four short double-helical elements and three loops (D, anti-codon, and T loops). Further hydrogen bonds mediate the characteristic L-shaped molecular structure. tRNAs have two regions of fundamental functional importance: the anti-codon, which is responsible for specific mRNA codon recognition, and the 3' end, to which the tRNAs corresponding amino acid is attached (by aminoacyl-tRNA synthetases). tRNAs cope with the degeneracy of the genetic code in two manners: having more than one tRNA (with a specific anti-codon) for a particular amino acid; and 'wobble' base-pairing, i.e. permitting non-standard base-pairing at the 3rd anti-codon position. Lineage: Eukaryota; Metazoa; Chordata; Mammalia; Rodentia; Cricetidae. The record is from Rfam by way of RNAcentral.